GUAAGUUUUAAUGUUGAGCUAGAAAACCCCCCGUUUUUUCUAGCUCACACACUAAAACUUUCAG
RNAcentral lists this microRNA precursor (64 nucleotides) under Caenorhabditis remanei. RNAcentral's name for it is "microRNA crm-mir-7601 precursor". Lineage: Eukaryota; Metazoa; Nematoda; Chromadorea; Rhabditida; Rhabditidae. The record is from miRBase by way of RNAcentral.